AGCAGCCGCGGUAAUUCCAGCUCCAAUAGCGUAUAUUAAAGUUGUUGCAGUUAAAAAGCUCGUAGUUGAACUUCGGGGUUUACCCAUUGGUCAGGCUUAAUUGUCUGCACUGGUGAGAUGGAUCUCUACCUUCUGAGGAACUUUCAUGCCAUUUAUUUGGUGUGAUGGGAAAUCAGGACUGUUACUUUGAAAAAUUAGAGUGUUUAAAGCAGACUAUCGUCUGAAUACAUUAGCAUGGAAUAAUGAAAUAGGACGGACUGAUUCUAUUUCGUUGGUUUCUAGGAUCACCGUAAUGAUUAAUAGGGAUGGUUGGGGGCAGUUAGUAUUCAAUUGUCAGAGGUGAAAUUCUUGGAUUUAUUGAAGACUAACUACUGCGAAAGCAUUUGCCAAGGGUGUUUUCAUUAAUCAAGAACGAAAGUUAGGGGAUCGAAGCGAUCAGAUACCGUGUAGUCUUAAACCAUAAACCUAUGCCGACUAGGGAUCGGGACGAAGUUAAUUUUAUAAAUGAACGCG
Molecule: ribosomal RNA, 513 nt
Filed under: uncultured Diversisporaceae
Lineage: Eukaryota; Fungi; Glomeromycota; Glomeromycetes; Diversisporales
Description: SSU rRNA
Rfam family: Eukaryotic small subunit ribosomal RNA
Source: RNAcentral